GACAGUCGGAAGCGCAUCAGAGACGUAACUUUGUGCAGGGAAAUGGGUGUAUGCAAGCUGCUGCGAAAGUGCGAAGUAACAGGACGUAGUAUUUGCAAACGAAGAGGAGAAAACGUCCAGAUCAAUUACACGAAAUCGCGUUUAAUAUAUAAAACAAACUUGUCAGCUAAGAACUUGGAAAACACGACAACGGAAAAUAAUAAGAUACCCACUGAGGAUGCUACAACUGUGGUGAACUACGUUUGGGCGAUGAAGUAAAACAAUAAUUUGUGUACUUACAAAAAGGUGGACUCAUCCUAAAUUCAUUAACAUUUUUCUGCAAGCUCUGGAACUGAGUCCAAACUCAAAUAGGCCUAUGAUGUAAAUAGACUGUUGUAUUACAGAAGAUGAGAAGCUGAAACUCUCAGGAAUACCUGUAAUACUACCUUUACGACAUAGUUCUCCAGUUGGCCAACUCUUAAAGUUGUUGGGCAUAUAACUGAUGAAAUGCAAGAGGAAAUUAUCAACAAAUGGAAGCCUUCAAAGCAUGGUCUAUGGGCAAGUAUUCCACAGGGGAUAC
This is a long non-coding RNA of Schistocerca serialis cubense, 559 nucleotides long. RefSeq lists it as uncharacterized. NCBI's taxonomy places the organism in Eukaryota, Metazoa, Arthropoda, Insecta, Orthoptera, Acrididae. The transcript has 3 exons. The record is from RefSeq and is a predicted model, not a curated record.